RNA transcript from Mizuhopecten yessoensis (Yesso scallop), 1931 nucleotides. It is a transcript of the gene named type I iodothyronine deiodinase-like, with no coding region annotated. The transcript has a single exon. NCBI's taxonomy places the organism in Eukaryota, Metazoa, Mollusca, Bivalvia, Pectinida, Pectinidae. The record is from RefSeq and is a predicted model, not a curated record.
AUGUUUGCUGCAUUUCUCAUCCAUAUAAAUUCAUAUCAAUAUUACUUCUUUUAAUUUGUAGGGGAAGCCAUGAAGAAGCCGGGUAUACUGUGGACGGACGACGUCCCAUUUGUAUGGAUAAAGACCGCCCGUAGUUUGUUAAUGGUUUUAGUACAUACAAUAAGUCUUUCAGUUGUUAUCGUUCUAUCGAAAAUUCCCUUCUUCAGAAACUUCAUAAAACCCCUUUCAAAAAACAGAAAAAUUCCUGGAACUAAAGAAUUGCAGCUGAACAUGUCAGCAAAAACAAUCACUACACAAGCCCGGAUUAGACUGGUAGAUGUGCUCUCAAGAAAAACAUUUCUGGGUCGUAAGGCUCCUAACACGGAUCUGUAUGACAUGGAUACGAAGUCGUACAGAAAACUCUACAGUUUUCAAAAGGCAGGGCGCCCUCUUGUGUUGAACUUUGGAAGCUGUUCCUGACCUCCAUUCAUAGCACUAGUCGAGGAGAUGAAAAAGAUCAUCCACGACUUUUCUGAUAUCGCCGAUUUCGUGACCAUCUACAUCCGGGAGGCCCACCCCGUGGAAGGAUGGCAAGUCUUCGGACACCGUUUCGAAGAUAUGAAGGAUCAUAAAACGCUUGAAGAUAGGGUCGAGGCAGCGAAAUUCCUCCGUGACUUUGACUUGAAGUGUCCAAUACUGGUUGACCCCUUUGAUAACCAGAAUGGUCUUCAGUACGCGGCUGUGCCGGAACGUUUGUAUAUACUGUACGAUCAUACCGUCAUGUAUUUCGGAGCCGUCGGACCGGAGAACUACAAACCUGACGCUGUUAGGUCGUGGCUGAAUUGUUUUAGGAACGAGGGGUAGAUUAUCAAGAAUGACAGACUUUGAUAAAUACGGAAGGCAUAAUAUAUUUGGAAAAAUCUGUUUAUUGCGAAAAAACUAAUAAAUUAUAUAAUUUCAUAUUAUAAGAUAUAAUUUGCCUGCAAUAAUUAUUUUAACACUGACAAUUAUAUCAGCAUGAUGUUUUAUUUUAUUAUUAUAUAAAGCAUAGGUUGCAGCGUGUAUCAAUAGCAUCAGAACUUUUUUUUAAUCACAGCACGACAUACCAAUUGAUGGAUGAAUUUCUUUAGAAAAAACCAUAUAUCUUUGGAAACGAUGGUGUCGUUAGUAUGUCGUUCUGUUUUAAGUAAGAGUUCAUUGCAUUAGUAAAUGUAAAACACGUGUUAGUACAAAACACUUUUCAUUUCUCAUAAUGAAACAUUACAUUAUGAAGACAAGAAAUGACUGGGAUACUCUAAUGAAUUUCAGAAAGCAAAUUAGUUUUGGAUCAAUCUGUUAUUGCAGAAUUGCUUCUACAUCAGAUUAUACACAUGUAUAUGCUUUCAUAUAAUAAUAUAUAUAUAUUGCAUGCAAGGAUUAUUCUAACACAUUGAAUUUUAUCAGCUUGAUAUAUCUCUCAAUUAUUAGAUAAAGUCUAGAUUAUAACGUGUAUCAAUUGCAAUAGAACUAUUUUUUAACACAGUAAGACAUACCAAUUGAUGGAUGAAAUUCUUUAGAAAAAAUAUAUAUCUUUGGAAACGAUGGUUGCAUUGGUAUGUCUCCCUGUGUUAAUUGAGAGUUCUCUGUGCUGGUCAAUGUUACAUAUAUAUUAAAUGAAAAUGCUUUUUAUUGCACUUUAUUCACCACUGAUAUAAAAUUAUAACAAGAAAUACGAAGAAAUGAAGUAAGUGUACAAAUCGCUUCGACAAAUCCAAUAAACUUACGAUUACGGUUACAAGAGAAUAAUUGAUCUAUACCAUAAGUAUUGUUACAGUGUACUUAUUUGUAUAUUGCCAAUACAAAGAAUAGAUAUAAUAUUUAAAUCGUAAGAUGUGAUUAUCAACAUGUUCAAAAUAAAUUGCUUUGUUUCCUGUAUUAUCUAAUAAACGAGUCAGAAUGGGCUUGAUAUCCUG